RNAcentral lists this long non-coding RNA (2116 nucleotides) under Mus musculus (house mouse). Its description in RNAcentral is "long non-coding RNA chr13:100976007-100978123". The record is from RNAcentral. Lineage: Eukaryota; Metazoa; Chordata; Mammalia; Rodentia; Muridae.
GUACCCUGUGGGCAAAUGCCUGGGGCCUCACUUGGCAUUCCCAGGGCACUAGUCUGUGAGCCCAACUAAUGAGGAGAACUUCAGGGGAGAAACUUUAGGCAGCAGGCUUUUCUGAAUCUUGAUGUCUCUUGAUUUUUUUUUUCUUUUCCCCAGAGUAGGUCUGGCUCUCAGAAGGGAGUGUUAAAAGGACUGCACAGCUCUUAGAAAGUGGUUUCUGGAACCUUCACUGCUGGAGGGAGUCAUCAGGCUUCUCCCUUUGUGCUUUUUCCAAGCUUCUAGUGGAAAGCCUGGGGUCUGAGCUAAGCUCCUUGACCCCUUUCCCCUCUAACAGAGACAACCAAGGAGCAUCAGGGAUAGGGACCCCUGGGGGUAGGCUCAGCUGUCAGCUUGGGGCUAUCUGGAGUCACAAAGCAAUGGGAGGUCCCACAGGGUGGGAAAAGACUUGCAAUCCUCCAUGUUAGCAGAUCCGGGGGUUGUUCAGUUGGGCCAACUAACUUCUUCUUCUUCUUCCACUCAACUGACCCUAGAAAUGCUUGGCUUAACUGCAGAGCUAUAUCAAUUACAGUAAUUUACAUGAAUUAUUUACCAAUUAUCUUUAAUUACUGGGCUGCGUGAUAGUGAUUAUGCAUAUCAUCAAAUGUGUGCCAGAUCAACUUGGUUGCAAGAUUUAUUUGAUUGUAAUACUAAUCACUGUGCACAUCUGCUUAGUCUUUGGGAAAUGCUUACCAGUGGGGGCAUUUUCUCAUACCUUGGAAACAAUAGCACUACCACUGGAAGAUACUUGCUGCUGGUGGACAGGUUGAAGGAAGAGAGAAAGAUAAGCAAUGAUAAUUACUAUCUGCUCCCAACCCCAUAAAUUUUGAUGAUUAGUUCUGGGGACGAAGCAAGGCCAAGUGGACCUCAUUAAAAGAUGAGCUUCUGUUCCUGGGGUCAGGAACUCGGGUAUAAUUCAUAUUUCCACCUUAGUCUCCAACAGGUAAAACUUCCAUAAAUAGUGGUUGGAUUGAAUUGAGCUGAAUUUGAAAUGGCAGUAGGCUUCAUUUCACAGCCAAAAAAUUUUUAUACUGAGACUGUCAUGAAAUAAUGCACUGAGGCUAUUUCUUCCAGUACUCUGACAGCUCGUAAGAUCACAUGCAUGGGAUUUUAUGGAGGCAAAAAUAUUACACAGAAUGAAAGGCAAUACUGAUGUGCUUUGCGUUUAUGACAUCUGUAAGCUACAGAGCUAACAUCUCAUUUCCUGAGAGGGGAAGCUGAGCUCAUUAGUUGCUUAAAUACAUAUGGCACUGGGCGAGGCCACCAUUAUCACAAAAGUCAUGUGGUAAAUAGUACCAAGUAACUUGUGUUUUCUGUGUUGUUAAUAACAUCAUCAUUACUAGUAUUUUGAAAUGGUGUUUUCACAUGGCAUACACUGAAGCCAUAAAAUAGCGAGUAAGAGGUGAAUCUCUUUUUCUUACCCCAUGUCCCCAGUUCAUUUCUCAAGGGCACGCUUGUUCAUAGUUUAUAAGUAAUUCUUUAGAAAGAUCUUCUGUACAUCUACUUAAAUGUACAUUGGUAGUUUUUCUUGAAAAUUAAGAGAUUAGGUACUGGCUAAGAUAGGAAAGGUACAAAGAAAAAUGCUGCAAAUAAAUAUGUAUCUCAUGGUCUAGUUUAAUAAAUAAAGCCAUCAUAGCCAUCCAGCAAGAAAUUGUUUUCUGAACUUGGUUCUUGUGUGCACUCAUGAGUUUAUGAUGCCUUUAUGUUUCCUAAAACGGUGUGUAGCCAAACUUUUAAACAGUCUGUUUACGUUACGAUAUUGUUCAUAUACUUCUUUCAUGUGAAUGUUUUUUUGCCCUCAGCAUUAUAAGAAACAUCCGUGUAAACAGUCACAUAAUACUUUUUUCACAUAAUAAAUAUGCUGUAUGAUAUUCUACUAUAUGGAUGUAGCUCAGUAUGUAUGCUGCUUCACUUUUUCAUGAAUAAUUAGGUUGUUUUAGAUUUUUAUUAUUGUGCAUGUAUCUAUGUGAGUGUAUGGUGUGUGUGUGUGUGUGUGUGUGUCUGUGGAAGCCAGAAGAGCAUGUCAGAUACCAUGGAGCUGAAGUUACAGGUAGUUGUGAGUCAUAACACUGGGGUGCUGAGA